This is a non-coding RNA of Delphinapterus leucas (beluga whale), 581 nucleotides long. The record is from RefSeq and is a predicted model, not a curated record. NCBI's taxonomy places the organism in Eukaryota, Metazoa, Chordata, Mammalia, Artiodactyla, Monodontidae.
GUUAAAAAAAAAAAAAAGACAGCUGACAUGUAUCCUUUGCCCCUUUUUCUACCUGUCCUCCAUUCUGCUGGCUGGAACGUGGACUUGGAAGCGGGAACUGGAGCAGCCAUCUUCGACCAAGAGACCCUUCCUCCUCUGGCCACUGCAAGUAUCACCCUGAUGUGUCUCCUGAAGAUGGAGACCCUGCCUCUCUGGAUGGCUGUCGUCAGCUGCCUUCUCCUGGAAUAAAUGCUUUCGUGGAAGCAGAGGACCUUGAGGAGUCCACUGAUCACCCGCUUGGACGUCGCAGCAAGGUCAAGUUGCCUUCAGGCUUCCAGAAUGGUUACUCUCAAUUUCUGUGCUUUUCUUAUUGUGGACAAGCACUGGUCCACGGACCACACUUUGAGUAGCACGGGUUUAUAAGAUGGCGAAUCCCUUAAAGGGAGGAACCAUUUCUUUAUAUUUUAUCCAUUCUUUGGAUUUGUAGCAGACCACCCAAAAGAUGUCCUCUCCUUUCCCAGAAAGGGAUGCCUACCUAUUAGUUUUCCCUGUGUUUUGAAUUUGGAAAGUUCUGCCAGUAUUAAAUACUAUUAUUAUUAUUA